Molecule: unclassified non-coding RNA, 237 nt
Filed under: Hevea brasiliensis (rubber tree)
Lineage: Eukaryota; Viridiplantae; Streptophyta; Magnoliopsida; Malpighiales; Euphorbiaceae
Source: RNAcentral
AUGAAUGAUAAGGAGAUUUUUCCUUAGUCCCAACCUCCUCUGCAGAAAUGUUGACUUGGAUGCGUUGUGAUGUAUUCACAGCUUCAGAAACAUAUGGAAUUUGAAUCGAAAGGCAUUUGUCGUCAUUGAAACAAGUUAACUUCAAGAAGCAUGAUUUCAUGUCAACCUGAGAUGUCACUUCCACCCUUUGUCCCAAACUCAGGUUUGGUGACUUCUCCAAUGACAUAUAGAGUGAUU